UUCGCAAUGCCCGAAAGGGUGACGAAGCGACGCCGCGUGGAUGAAGAAGGCCUUCGGGUUGUAAAACCCUGUCAGGAGUUAUGAAAUGUAAGUACGCUAAUAUCGUGCUUAUUUGACAAAGGCUCCAAAGGAAGCCACGGCUAACUCUGUGCCAGCAGCCGCGGUAAUACAGAGGUGGCGAGCGUUGUUCGGAAUUAUUGGGCGUAAAGAGCACGUAGGUGGGUUUGCAAGUCAGAUGUGAAAGCCUUCUGUUCAACGGGAGAAUUGCAUCUGAAACUGCUAAUCUUGAGUAUAGGAGGGGAGAAUGGAACUUCUGGUGGAGCGGUGAAAUGCGUAGAUAUCAGAAGGAACGCCGGCGGCGAAAGCGAUUCUCUGGCCUAUUACUGACACUCAGUGUGCGAAAGCUAGGGGAGCAAACGGGAUUAGAUACCCCGGUAGUCCUAGCCGUAAACGAUGGGCACUAAGUAGA
RNAcentral lists this ribosomal RNA (469 nucleotides) under uncultured bacterium. RNAcentral describes it as "bacterial SSU rRNA". It matches the Rfam family "Bacterial small subunit ribosomal RNA", at positions 365 to 824 of the family's 1533-position model. The record is from RNAcentral.